Oncorhynchus tshawytscha (Chinook salmon) is the source of this 1346-nucleotide long non-coding RNA. Lineage: Eukaryota; Metazoa; Chordata; Actinopteri; Salmoniformes; Salmonidae. The record is from Ensembl.
ACCUCAGAGCCUCCUGCCUAUCCCUCUGUCUCUCGUCCUCCUCGGCAUCUCCAUGCCUCUUCUCCUCCUCGUGUUCGUCCGAAUCGCCCCUUUGUUCCUCGUCUUCCUCCUCUGAGGAAUCCCCAUUGCGUUUGUGAUGCUUCUUGUGGUGGUACCUGUGAGUUGGUUUCCAAAUCCUCUUUUCUCUCUCAUCCUCAUCUCUCAUCAUAUCCUCAUCUCUCUUCUCCUUUCCAUCACCCAGACUCCAGGACUCUUGGCUGCGUUCUUCAUCUGGCUCCUCUCUCCCUUCUUCUGAAAGCUCCUCAUCACGUUUGUGGUGUUUUUUGUGGUGGUAUCUGUGUGUGGGCUUCCAGAUUCUCUUCUCUCUAUCCUCUUCCUCCUCUUCCUCUGACUCUUCUGAUCUCUUCUCCUCUGAUUCCUCGUCCGAUGAGUCAGCAUCUCGUUUGUGGUGUUUCUUGUGGUGAUAUCUGUGUGUGGGUUUCCAAAUUCUCUUAUCUUUCUCCUCCUCCUCUUCCUCUGAAGGAUCUUCACUGCGUUUGUGGUGCUUCUUGUGGUGGUACCGAUGGGUGGGUUUCCAGAUCCUCUUUUUUCUUUCCUCAUCAUCCUCCUCUCUCUUUUCUUUCUCAUCACCCAGACUCCAGGACUCUUGACUGCGCUCUUCGUCUUCUUCAUCUCGUUUGUGGUGUUUCUUUGGGGUGUACCGAUAGGUAGGCCUAUAUCUCUUCUCCUUCUCAUCGCCCAGGCUCCAGGAUUCCUGACUACGUUCCUCUUCUGGCUCUUCUCUCUCUUCCUCUAAACCCUCUUCGUCUCGUUUGGGGUGUUUUUUGGGGUGUACCGAUAGGUAGGCCUAUAUCUCUUCUCCUUCUCAUCGCCCAGGCUCCAGGAUUCCUGACUACGUUCCUCUUCUGGCUCUUCUCUCUCUUCCUCUAAACCCUCUUCGUCUCGUUUGUGGUGUUUCUUUGGGGUGUACCGAUAGGUAGGCCUAUAUCUCUUCUCCUUCUCAUCGCCCAGGCUCCAGGAUUCCUGACUACGUUCUUCGUCUGGCUCUUCUCUCACUUCUUCAGAAACCUCCUCAUCACGUUUGUGAUUGGGUUUCUUAUGAUGAUACCUGUGCGUUGGUUUCCAAAUCCUUUUCUCCUUCUCGUAGUUGAGGUCCCAUGACUCCUGGCUGCGAUCUUCGUCCUCCGGUGUCUCCCUCUUCUCCUCCACAGACUUCAGGAGGGCCUCGAUGUCUUUCACAUCGGCCCCUGGUGCCUCAGGCUUAGGUUCAUGUUCUUUGCCCUCCUCUUCAUUAGUCAGCAGCUCAUCACUUGUCUUCUCCACAGGAGCAGCAUGUUGGGCACCUG